UUGUAAAUGAAGCGUCCGUUCAAACACAGUAGUCAGGACGAAAAAGCGUGAGUGACUUAAUAAUUUCCUGUGUUGGACCUGGAGGGUGAUGAUUAAAAUUAAAACGAAAAUGUGAACUUUUUUGACAGACACAAGACAGAAUUUAUUGCCACCCAAGAUGAGAUCUUGCAUGGAGCUCCAACACCAGGACACGAUCUUACGUGGCUGUUACCAUGUCAAGUUUUCCAUGCUUCUGGAAGAGGCUUGAGAUGGCUAUAGUGGUGAGCACUGUUGACGCCAAAGCCAGUCCAAUCCAGGGAAUGGAACCAGCCUUGCAUGAGCAGUGCCCACUGGAUGCCAAAAGCUGCGAUGAGGAAGUUGAACCCCACGGCACCAAAGCUGUAGCGCUUGAGAAAAGUCAUCAGAAAGCCAAAACCUACAAAGAUCAUCACAUGGACAUCCUGGAAACCUUAACCGAAGCAAAUGGAUGCUGAGGUGAAAUGAACACGUCAGCUGAUGAAAGCACACAUCACUGCGCCGGUUGUGCAUUCAACAAUGUGGUAAUAUCCAUGAAGGUGUAAAUGGUUCACAGAUGCAAAAGCUCCAAGACUGUUGAAGCCCACACGGAAUGCCGGGUCAGAGCUCAGCAGCACAGACUGAAUCCCAACUUGGAUGGCAAACUUUGUGAGCACCUGAGGAAAGCAGCGUGAUGGAUCCGGAACAAAAAGACAAUGUCCAAACUCCAACGGACUGACAUUCACUAACACAACUAUCUUGCAUGGUUGGUGAUUACUUUCAUGUUCUUCUUCAGUGUCCAUCAUCUCAAAUAUGAUCUCAUCUGGAUUAAUUAAAUUGAAAUUAAACUGUUUGGCGUUGAAGUCCUGCUUGAUACUGAAUAUCUCCUGUGGUUUUCUUCUCUCUGUGCCUCUCUUGACAUUCAACUGGGCCACAAAACCACAGGAACCAGGCAGGAUACGUGUCUGCAGGUCCCCCAGAUUGUAGCGGAACAGCCCUCUUUCCAUUCUGUCAGUCCAGCCGGCUUGGAUGGCUGCAUCAAACCUUGAUAUCGUCCGAGGUGUGUCAUCAAAAUCAUAAUACACAUCCUUAACAAAGUCCUGGUUUCCAUAAACGAACUGGAUUGGCAUUGUUGAUUUUAGUAGUGAAUGUUGAAAACAGCAGCUAGCGUCGUCGUCACUGUCUUCUAUUUAGUUCCUGUCGUCGUACUAAAACACGUGGACAACAGGACAAAAAAACUAGUGUAAAAAUUACAUACCAUAUAAAAGGUGUAUUAGGUAAAAAUUACAUACCAUAUUACAUUUGUAUUUACACUGCAGAGUGAAGAGUUGAACAAUUUUACUACUGUUUUGCAAGUGCGAGUUACUUCCUACUCCGGUUCUUCUUCGUGGGUACUUGUAUUUCCGGUUUGAGAUUCCAAAAUAAAGCAAGCUUUACGUCACUAAUAUUGUUAGGUAAAAUUAAUAACAAUAUUGUAGAU
This is a non-coding RNA of Doryrhamphus excisus (bluestripe pipefish), 1474 nucleotides long. Lineage: Eukaryota; Metazoa; Chordata; Actinopteri; Syngnathiformes; Syngnathidae. The record is from RefSeq and is a predicted model, not a curated record.